Numida meleagris (helmeted guineafowl) is the source of this 1588-nucleotide long non-coding RNA. Lineage: Eukaryota; Metazoa; Chordata; Aves; Galliformes; Numididae. The record is from Ensembl.
AUGAACCACAGCCGCCUCCUUCACAGCUUCCCAGGUAACAGAGCAGGGCAGGCUGGACCCGGUGCUUUCAUAACAAACCUGUUUUCUUUCUGUCAGCCACCCGCUGCCCCUGGGCAGGGCAAGGCCCGGCAGAAAAGGCUCCGGGGGGGGGGGGGGGGAAGCUGCCGUUCCAUCGCAGCAAUUAACCGCUUCGGAGCCCCGGGUCGGCUGGCAGCACCGGCUGUGCACGCUUCGGGUCACUUUUCAAGAGGAGGGGAACCCCACCAUAGCCGGGUUCAGGAGCCCAGGCAAAUUCCAUGCACCACCCCAGCAGCCAGACCGCACCUGAGCUGCAGCUCCAACUUGAAUGCGAUUUUUGCUCAACCCAGCUGCCCCAACCUCUUUAUGCUGGCUUGGCAAGCAGGGGAACGGGAAAGGACCUGCUGUGCUGGGUGCUCUCACACUGCCUGCACUGUGGGACAAGCAGGUUGGCACCUACAAGCCACCAGGACUGGCGGGAGGGGAAUUGCAGGAGCUGACCUCAUUCAUGCUGGAGGCUUUGCAGUUAGGGCAGAGCACAGUCCAGCACAGCUGCUUCUACAGCUGUAGCAUGGGUUCAGACCAAGCCCAGGGACCAACCCUCAGCACAGCAGCGUUACAGAUUUUGAAAUACUUGACCUAGCAAUUAAAUAAGGCCACUAUGAGAUACCACAGCCCAGCAGAGAGCCCAGGGACACCUCAUCCCUCCUGGAAGCGAUGCUCUGGGGUGGCAGCAGUGAGUUCCCAAAGCAGCUCUGGGAAGCCAAGAGCACGUGGCCCAUCACCACCAGUUGCCCACGGAGCCCCCAGCACGGACCAGCUUUCUCCGAGGAGCUGGUGGAGAUAUCCACAGCCUCCAACAAACCCUACACCAGGGACCUGGUCCCAUUUGAAGCAAAAAAAGAUUGGAGGGAUCUUCUCUUGCAUUUUCCCUGGGACAAUUCACCUACAAACCAAACACCAGCAUGGGGAGGGAGCCCGGCUGCUCGACCCACAGCCAGACCAGGGGGGCAGAGGCAGCUUUCCCAGACAGAAAGAGAGCUCAGAGCUGUCCUUUAGCCUGGCACUCACCUCCCCACUGUCUCCAAGUGAUAUUUGUUCCUGUUCCCAGCCCAAGAGCCAUCACAGAGCCAUCACAGCCCCCAGGCCAUGGUUAUGAGGUCCUCAGGUGGGGUGGUCAGUGUGGGUCCCUCACAGCCCCAGAUGACAGCUGGUGCUGAGCACAGCCAGGUUUCGUGAGCAGAUGCACCCUCUGAUUUCAGCCCUGGGUCCAGGAAAGCCCCCAGCUUCCCAAAGUGCUCCCAGGUGGGAUUGGUUGAAAACUUCACCCCCCCACCCUUCCCAAAAUGGCAGCUCCUACACUUGCAGCAGUUCCAUCUCAUGGCUUUAGCAUCCUGCAGUGGUUUUGCAGGGAAUCCACGUUCUCCAGUGUGUACAUACACCAGAAGCAAUGCGGUGCCAUCCCUGCAGAGCAUCGCCCUGGCAGCUCUGGGUGCACAAGCAAACCACACCAAGACCAGUGGGGAUGCUGAGCCUUCCCACCAACAGCUACAGCUCUGCUCACACCGUC